Molecule: ribosomal RNA, 400 nt
Filed under: phytoplankton environmental sample
Lineage: Eukaryota
Description: partial small subunit ribosomal RNA
Rfam family: Eukaryotic small subunit ribosomal RNA
Source: RNAcentral
AGCUCCAAUAGCGUAUAUUAAAGUUGUUGCAGUUAAAAAGCUCGUAGUUGGAUUUCUGUUGGGAGCCGCCAGUCCGCUCCUUUGGAGUGCGCACUUGGUAAAUCUCAGCAUCCUCCUGGUAUUGCGUUGUUCAUCUCACGGUGGGGAGCGUAUUUCCAGGACUUUUACUUUGAGAAAAUUAGAGUGUUUCAAGCAGGCUUGUUGCCUUGAAUACUGCAGCAUGGAAUAAUAAGAUAGGAUUUCGGUUCUAUUUUGUUGGUUUCUAGGACUGAAGUAAUGAUUAAUAGGGACAGUUGGGGGCAUUCGUAUUUAACUGUCAGAGGUGAAAUUCUUAGAUUUGUUAAAGACGGACUACUGCGAAAGCAUUUGCCAAGGAUGUUUUCAUUAAUCAAGAACGAAA